Molecule: ribosomal RNA, 451 nt
Filed under: uncultured bacterium
Lineage: Bacteria
Description: bacterial SSU rRNA
Rfam family: Bacterial small subunit ribosomal RNA
Source: RNAcentral
UACGGAAGGCAGCAGUGGGGAAUAUUGCACAAUGGGCGCAAGCCUGAUGCAGCCAUGCCGCGUGUAUGAAGAAGGCCUUCGGGUUGUAAAGUACUUUCAGUCGUGAGGAAGGUGUUAAGGUUAAUAACCUUAGCAAUUGACGUUAGCGACAGAAGAAGCACCGGCUAACUCCGUGCCAGCAGCCGCGGUAAUACGGAGGGUGCGAGCGUUAAUCGGAAUUACUGGGCGUAAAGGGCACGCAGGCGGUUAAUUAAGUUGGAUGUGAAAUCCCCGGGCUUAACCUGGGAAUGGCAUUCAAGACUGGUUAGCUAGAGUCUUGUAGAGGGGGUUAGAAUUCCAUGUGUAGCGGUGAAAUGCGUAGAGAUGUGGAGGAAUACCGGUGGCGAAGGCGGCCCCUGGACAAAGACUGACGCUCAUGUGCGAAAGCGUGGGGAGCAAACAGGGAUUAGAU